CAGCCGCCGCGGGAAUACGUAGGUGGCAAGCGUUAUCCGGAACUAUUGGGCGUAAAGCGCGCGUAGGCAGUUUUUUAAGUCUGAUGUGAAAGCCCACGGCUCAACCGUGGAGGGUCAUUGGAAACUGGAAAACUUGAGUGCAGAAGAGGAAAGUGGAAUUCCAUGUGUAGCGGUGAAAUGCGCAGAGAUAUGGAGGAACACCAGUGGCGAAGGCGACUUUCUGGUCUGUAACUGACGCUGAUGUGCGAAAGCGUGGGGAUCAAGCAGGAUUAGAGACCCCCGUAGUCCCUGUCUCUUAUAA
RNAcentral lists this ribosomal RNA (301 nucleotides) under uncultured bacterium. Its description in RNAcentral is "partial 16S ribosomal RNA". It matches the Rfam family "Bacterial small subunit ribosomal RNA", at positions 509 to 809 of the family's 1533-position model. The record is from RNAcentral.